UGAUGUAGUGUCCCCUAGUUCACAUAAAUUAUAAGCCGGGUCCGAUACCAUUUUGUAAUAAUCUAUGAUCUUAUUCAAAAAAGCUAGUUGGAAGAUAUUAUUUAAGUUCUUGAUCAUGUAUAAGUAUCCAAAUCUAUCCGGUAAAUAACCGAUGUGGAACUAAACACACGCCAACACGGAUCCUCAUACUACCAUAUGAGAAUUGAGAUGAAGAUCUAAUCUAAGAGGAUCUUCCUCGUGAUCCAUGAACUUUCACAUUUUUCAAUAGGAUAGGGUCAAAUUUAUAUAAAUUAGCCUGGCCAAAUCUUUGGAUCAGUAUAUGCUGCGUUAGCUUGACAAGAGCACCUAAUUUAGGUCCUGUUUGGAUGCACUGUGUUUCCAUAGUAUGUUAUAGGAAUUGGACGAUUCAGAGGAAUUUUCAACCAAAAAGGAAUGCCUUUCUUACAGGAUAAAUGGAUGAUUGCACGAAAAAUAAAAGAUAUACUAAUUUUUAUUUUUUUUGCUCCCACAGUUUGCAUGACAGGCCACUUGCACCCCUAUCUUAACAC
RNAcentral lists this long non-coding RNA (548 nucleotides) under Phoenix dactylifera (date palm). RNAcentral describes it as "long non-coding RNA (PDAC_LNC005408)". Lineage: Eukaryota; Viridiplantae; Streptophyta; Magnoliopsida; Arecales; Arecaceae. The record is from RNAcentral.